This 254-nucleotide ribosomal RNA is filed under the name uncultured bacterium. RNAcentral describes it as "partial 16S ribosomal RNA". It matches the Rfam family "Bacterial small subunit ribosomal RNA", at positions 524 to 776 of the family's 1533-position model. The record is from RNAcentral.
UACGGAGGGUGCGAGCGUUGUCCGGAUUUAUUGGGUUUAAAGGGUGCGUAGGUGGCUAUUUAAGUCAGUGGUGAAAUACAGCCGCUCAACGGUUGAGGUGCCAUUGAUACUGAUUAGCUUGAAAUAAUUGGAGGCUGCCGGAAUGGAUGGUGUAGCGGUGAAAUGCAUAGAUAUCAUCCAGAACACCGAUUGCGAAGGCAGGUGGCUACGAUUUAUUUGACACUGAGGCACGAAAGCAUGGGGGAGCAAACAGG